GACUGACUGAGUGAGCGAGCGAGCGGGUAAGCCAGCGAACAGCCUCGAUGCUGUAAACUCGAAUGCUGGGCUUCCUGUAAUCCGCUGCGAGCGCCGGAAGAGCUUGCAGUGAUUGAUUCGAGCUGACAAAGCGGAGCAGCGAUGGUGCACAUUUCGUGCUUUAUAAGUUCAAGUUUAUAUCACAUCUGCUAAUCGUGAAUCCAGUUCUGUUCUCGACUCGUAGAUAUAUCCCCAAAGUCGUCGAACUCCGUGUAACAGAUCUUUCGCCUUCGUCCCUGAUCGAGAGGGCGCGUCCCCUGAGCAUGCGGUCCAUUCCGGUAUUGUGUAUCGUUGCGCUCAUCAUCUGUCUUGUCGCUGAUUUCUCCGGUGCAUUCUUCAUGCGGACGGAGUGCAUCUGUAAACCGAUCCAACGUCCAGUCUGCGCCAAGAGCGACAACGGCGAAAUGAAAACUUUCCAGAACUCGUGUUACGCGUACUGCGCGGACAUGAGGGUGGCACACGAGGGUCCGUGCUCCAAUAGCUAGGAGUGUCGGGAAGGCGUGACACGGGGGAAAUCUGAUCAGUCCAUCGAAUGCCUCAACGCGAAUGACCAAUCAAGGUGCCCGAAGACCGAAGACUAACGGAAUGGAGACAAAGCUGCGCUAAAAGUAAACACCCG
This is a long non-coding RNA of Galendromus occidentalis (western predatory mite), 658 nucleotides long. RefSeq lists it as uncharacterized. The transcript has 4 exons. The record is from RefSeq and is a predicted model, not a curated record. Lineage: Eukaryota; Metazoa; Arthropoda; Arachnida; Mesostigmata; Phytoseiidae.